Molecule: ribosomal RNA, 311 nt
Filed under: Escherichia coli
Lineage: Bacteria; Pseudomonadati; Pseudomonadota; Gammaproteobacteria; Enterobacterales; Enterobacteriaceae
Description: partial 23S ribosomal RNA
Rfam family: Bacterial large subunit ribosomal RNA
Source: RNAcentral
GGGUUGUGAGGUUAAGCGACUAAGCGUACACGGUGGAUGCCCUGGCAGUCAGAGGCGAUGAAGGACGUGCUAAUCUGCGAUAAGCGUCGGUAAGGUGAUAUGAACCGUUAUAACCGGCGAUUUCCGAAUGGGGAAACCCAGUGUGAUUCGUCACACUAUCAUUAACUGAAUCCAUAGGUUAAUGAGGCGAACCGGGGGAACUGAAACAUCUAAGUACCCCGAGGAAAAGAAAUCAACCGAGAUUCCCCCAGUAGCGGCGAGCGAACGGGGAGCAGCCCAGAGCCUGAAUCAGUGUGUGUGUUAGUGGAAGC